RNAcentral lists this unclassified non-coding RNA (653 nucleotides) under uncultured Campylobacterota bacterium. RNAcentral's name for it is "uncultured Epsilonproteobacteria bacterium partial 16S-23S ribosomal RNA intergenic spacer". The stretch from base 81 to 154 matches the Rfam family "tRNA". The record is from RNAcentral. Lineage: Bacteria; Pseudomonadati; Campylobacterota.
CGUUGAUUUCGCGACACCCGUCGCAGCUUUUAUUUGGUUGUCAAAGAUCAUUGCGUGUUCUUUAAUACCUAUUAUCUUAGGGGCGUAUAGCUCAGCUGGUUAGAGUACACCCCUGAUAAGGGUGAGGUCUCAGGUUCAAGUCCUGAUACGCCCACCAUACUGGGGAAUUAGCUCAGCUGGGAGAGCGCCUGCUUUGCACGCAGGAGGUCAGCGGUUCGAUCCCGCUAUUCUCCACCAGUACAAAAAGUCUGAUGUAAGUACUUCAAGCAAGUAUUUACAUUAGGCUUUCAGUCUAAAAGUUAUUUAACUUAUUAUUGUUAAGAGUCUAACGUAAUGUUGCAAACAACGACGAUGUAGCGAUACAGAAUCGAAGUUUUAAAAAUUACAAUUGAACAGAAAAAAAUUAUUGGAAUGUAUCUCCCUCAAAAGAGUGCAAGAAGAUAAUCUUUCAUGUGCGAAGAAGCAAACUCAAAAUAAAAAAACUUGUUAAACAAAAAAGAAUCAUAGCAAUAUGACUCAUUUGCAUUUAAUAAGGUAGUACCUUAGAAUUAAGAAAAUUAAUCUAAGGGCAGAUGGUGGAUGCCUAGACCAGGAGAGGCGAUGAAGGACGUACCAGGCUGCGAUAAGCCGGGGGGAGCUGCCAAGAAGCUUUG